Molecule: long non-coding RNA, 768 nt
Organism: Cannabis sativa
Lineage: Eukaryota; Viridiplantae; Streptophyta; Magnoliopsida; Rosales; Cannabaceae
Exons: 2
Source: RefSeq, a predicted model, not a curated record
UCAACAUUAACAUUCUUGUAGAAUAUAGUAAGUCUCUUUUUUCAUAUUAAUUGAUUUCUAUAAUGUUUAACAUUAAUUAUAAUUGUAAUAUUUUAUAUUUCUCUUCCUCAUUAUGUAUAUAAAUAUAUUUUACGUUUUAUUUAUUGUUAUUAUUAUUUUAGUAUUAUUUUUAUUGUUAUGAUUAAUAUAUGCAUGUAAUUGUAAAAUUAUUAAUAUAUAUAUAAUCAAUAAUAUAUCACUAAUACAAUACAACUAACUCUUAAAAUUCUCCCUAAACAAAACUCACUUAGUAGUUAAUAAUGAAGUAAAUUCAAUAAAUAUAUUUCAUUUAUUAUAUAAGUGUCUUUUGAAUUCUAUAGCCAUGCUUCAUCUAUAUUUAAAGAACAUUCUUAUGCUAUUAGCAUAUUGCAAAAAGAAACAAAAUAUCAAUACUUUAUAUAAAAUCACUAUUAUUGUUUGUAGUUUUAUUUCUUUGUUUUUAAAAUAUUCUUUAAUAAUUUUUUUUUUUGUUGGAGCUACAUUUCAGUUUGGAAGAUUUUUUACUUCUCUCUAUUUAGAGAAACACAACCAAUUGUUGAUCGUUGAUAGAUAUAAUGAUGAUCACAAUUAUUUCUACAAUUUUUUUCUAUAUAUAUUUGUUAAGUUUGUAGAUGAAAGUUGCUAUGAGUUCCUCCAAGAAAAUUAAUAUGGUAAUUUUGGUUAAAUUAAAGUAAAUCUCAUCUCUCAUGUAUUUGUUUCUUCAAAUUUUAAUCUCUUUUUCUUCUUCUU